Sander lucioperca (pikeperch) is the source of this 514-nucleotide long non-coding RNA. RefSeq lists it as uncharacterized. NCBI's taxonomy places the organism in Eukaryota, Metazoa, Chordata, Actinopteri, Perciformes, Percidae. The transcript has 2 exons. The record is from RefSeq and is a predicted model, not a curated record.
CUUUAUUAGAUAUUGUUUAGUUUAGUCUUGUAAUGUCUGUCCUAUAAUCAAUUAUAAUCAGGAAACCAGAUACAUGUGACCUCACUAUGUAAUCCCACUGUGGGAUCCAGAUCAUUUACAGGUCCCACACACUUUCACUUUGCUUUCUAGUUCUGUAAGUUCAGUAACAUUCACUAUCACUCAUGUAUCAAGAUGGGUGUUUAUGUUGUUAAAAGACAAAAUAUAAGCAUAGCAUGAAGAACAAAAAUAAGAAGCAUCACACACACACACACACACACACUGUAAUUAACAAAGUUUUUUUUUUUUUUUUUAAAUGUUGACACAGUGAUGUAUCUGCCUGAUGACCUGAGAGGCCUGAUGAUCAAUGAUCAAUGACACAUAUAAAUCUGAAUGGAGGGAACUUCUGCAAUCUCCGAUGUCUUCGUGGACUCCUCGUCUGACAAUUUCUUCUGUACUGAGGCCGCUGUGAGGUCUCACGCAGUCAGCAAGGAAAUUACUUUACUUUCAAUUUCAU